AAACAUGUCUUUUUGAAUUUAAUUUAAAGUCUAAUCUGCCCACUGAUUUAAAAUUAAAGGGCUGCAGUAAUUUGACUGUACAAAGGUAGCAUAAUCAUUAGUCUUUUAAUUGAAGACUUGUAUGAAAGAUUUGAUGAGAUAUAAACUGUCUCUUAUUUAUAAUUAAAAUUUAAUUUUUUAGUUAAAAAGCUAAAAUAAAUUUAAAAGACGAGAAGACCCUAUAGAGUUUUAUAAUUUAUAAAUUAAAAUAUUUAUAUAAAAUUUUAAUAUUAAAUUUUGUUAAUUAUUUUAUUGGGGUGAUAAAAAAAUUUAAAAAACUUUUUUUUAAAAAUUUUCAUAAAUAAAUGAAUAAAUGAUCUUGAAUAAUGAUUAAAAGAAAAAAUUACCUUAGGGAUAACAGCGUAAUAUUUUUUUUUAGUACAAAUAAAAAAAAAAGUUUGCGACCUCGAUGUUGGAUUAAGAUAAAAUUUAAAUGCAAAAGUUUAAAAUUUUGAUCUGUUCGAUCAUUAAAAUCUUACAUG
RNAcentral lists this ribosomal RNA (521 nucleotides) under Jamides celeno. RNAcentral's name for it is "partial 16S ribosomal RNA". Lineage: Eukaryota; Metazoa; Arthropoda; Insecta; Lepidoptera; Lycaenidae. The record is from RNAcentral.